UGGAUACCCCGACACACCCGAA
Molecule: unclassified non-coding RNA, 22 nt
Filed under: Mus musculus (house mouse)
Lineage: Eukaryota; Metazoa; Chordata; Mammalia; Rodentia; Muridae
Description: oocyte_clustered_small_RNA603
Source: RNAcentral